Non-coding RNA from Paramuricea clavata, 113 nucleotides. Lineage: Eukaryota; Metazoa; Cnidaria; Anthozoa; Malacalcyonacea; Plexauridae. The record is from the annotation of a GenBank genome assembly.
ACAAUAUUUUGCUGCCCAUAUUGUUCCUGGUUGUUAACAAUAUUGUUCACCAUUGUUCAGCUUGAACAAUAUUGUUACCAACCAGGAACAAUACGGGCAGCAAAAUAUUGUUC